GACGAACGCUGGCGGCGUGCUUAACACAUGCUAGUCGAACGGAAAGGCCCUGCUUUUGUGGGGUGCUCGAGUGGCGAACGGGUGAGUAACACGUGAGUAACCUGCCCUUGACUUUGGGAUAACUUCAGGAAACUGGGGCUAAUACCGGAUAGGAGCUCCUGCUGCAUGGUGGGGGUUGGAAAGUUUCGGCGGUUGGGGAUGGACUCGCGGCUUAUCAGCUUGUUGGUGGGGUAGUGGCUUACCAAGGCUUUGACGGGUAGCCGGCCUGAGAGGGUGACCGGCCACAUUGGGACUGAGAUACGGCCGAGACUCCUACGGGAGGCAGCAGUGGGGAAUAUUGCACAAUGGGCGGAAGCCGUAUGCAGCAACGCCGCGUGCGGGAUGACGGCCUUCGGGUUGUAAACCGCUUUCGCCUGUGACGAAGCGUGAGUGACGGUAAUGGGUAAAGAAACACCGGCUAACUACGUG
This 468-nucleotide ribosomal RNA is filed under the name uncultured bacterium. Its description in RNAcentral is "partial 16S ribosomal RNA". It matches the Rfam family "Bacterial small subunit ribosomal RNA", at positions 28 to 507 of the family's 1533-position model. The record is from RNAcentral.